CACACCGCCCGUCAUACCAUGGGAGUUGAUUGCACCAGAAGUAGGUAGCCUAACCGCAAGGAGGGCGCUUACCACGGUGUGGUCAAUGACUGGGGUG
This 97-nucleotide ribosomal RNA is filed under the name uncultured bacterium. Its description in RNAcentral is "partial 16S ribosomal RNA". It matches the Rfam family "Bacterial small subunit ribosomal RNA", at positions 1386 to 1482 of the family's 1533-position model. The record is from RNAcentral.